GACGAACGCUGGCGGCGUGCCUAAUACAUGCAAGUAGAACGCUGAAGGAGGAGCUUGCUUCUCUGGAUGAGUUGCGAACGGGUGAGUAACGCGUAGGUAACCUGCCUGGUAGCGGGGGAUAACUAUUGGAAACGAUAGCUAAUACCGCAUAAGAGUAGAUGUUGCAUGACAUUUGCUUAAAAGGUGCAAUUGCAUCACUACCAGAUGGACCUGCGUUGUAUUAGCUAGUUGGUGAGGUAACGGCUCACCAAGGCAACGAUACAUAGCCGACCUGAGAGGGUGAUCGGCCACACUGGGACUGAGACAAGGCCCAGACUGCUACGGGAGGCAGCAGUAGGGAAUCUUCGGCAAUAGACGGAAGGCUGACCGAGCAACGCCGCAUGAGUGAAGAAGGUUGUCGGAUCGUAAAGCUCUGUUGUAAGAGAAGAAAGAGUGUGAGAGUGGAAAGUUCACACUGUGACGGUAUCUUACCAGAAAGGGACGGCUAACUACGUG
Molecule: ribosomal RNA, 495 nt
Filed under: uncultured bacterium
Lineage: Bacteria
Description: partial 16S ribosomal RNA
Rfam family: Bacterial small subunit ribosomal RNA
Source: RNAcentral